Molecule: long non-coding RNA, 1492 nt
Organism: Vespa velutina
Lineage: Eukaryota; Metazoa; Arthropoda; Insecta; Hymenoptera; Vespidae
Exons: 2
Source: RefSeq, a predicted model, not a curated record
UAAAUUCUAAUUUAAAAAAGAAAAAAAGAAAAAGGAAAGAAAACAGAGAAAACCAAAAAGAAAAAAAGGAUAACUAAAGAAAAUAUAAAAUAUGAUUUCUUUCGGUUAUCCCUUUAAAGGACAAUUGUCAGAACAAAUUUUUCAAAACGAGAAAAUAAUUGAAUGAAAUAAAAUUGAGAGGAAGAGAAAAAAAAAGAAGAAAAGAAAAGAAAAGAAAAGAAAAGAAAAGAAAAGAAAAACUAAAGUGAAACAAUGGAUGAAUUGAAAUAAUGACGAUAAUGAAAAAAAAAAGAAAAGAGAAAAAAAAGAAAAAGAAAGGAGAGAGAAAGAAAAAGAAACGAAAAAAGAGAAGAAAGGGAGAAAAAAGAUAAAGAAAAAGAAAAAAGUAAUCAAGGAAGGGGAUAUAUGAGAGUUUUGUAUGUCGAGCGAUACUCGACAAUUUGUCCGAUCAGCUGAUCGACGUUGGAGCGAUGUACUGGUGCACAUCGUAAGUAGUAGGAGUAGUGGGGAUACGACAAGAGCGCCAACAAUUCUCAUCGUGGCGAAUAAUCGAAGCUAUUCUCAGUCACCUCCUACGCUUAGGGAAUCCAACGAACGAGACCAACAGUCCGGUUCCGAUGUUCCCGCGCGACGGUGGACGAUCGAGAGUGCUCCUCUCGAUCCGCCUACUGCAAGAAUCCAUCCUCUCUACUACUACCAAUACUACUAUUAUUACUACUACUACUACUACUAUUACUACUACUACUACUACUACUACUACUACCAAUCUUUUCCUCCUACUCUUCUUCUACUUCUACCUUUACCUCCAUCACUCCUACCUCUACCUUUUUAUUCUCCUCCUUCUCCUCCUCCACUUCUACGUCCACCUCCACCUCCACCUCCUCCCCUCCAACCCACCCCCCCUCCCCUCUUUCUUCGUCGUCGUUUGUCGUUCUUCUUCUGUAACGUCGUCGAUGCGAACUCGUCGUUGAACGCGACUCCGCGUCUCGUUGUUACGAGCUCGCGAACGGGAAGUUGUAUAUUCGUUUGUGUUUCUCUUGUUUCGAGUGAUCCAAAAUAAAUAUAUAGAUAUAUAAGAAGAAAAAGAAGAGGAGAAGGAGGAGGAGGAGGAGGAGGAAAUGGUAGUAGUGGAGGAGAAGGAAAAGAAGAAAAAAGAAAAAGAAAAUAGGCACAUAUAGAUAAAUAAAAGAAAAAAAGAAAUCUAGUUUAUUAUAUUUUCAGUGUAAAAGUGAGAUUGGAGGUCAGCGAUAAUUCAAGUUGUUGUUGUUGUUGUUGUUGUUGUUGUUGGUUGUUGUUUCGUGAUUACUUAAAUGUUUAUUAAUCGUUUAACAGAUGACUUGUUUUAAUUAACGAUCGUUGGAUCCAUUUGCUCGUGUAUCGUUUCUAUAAACAAAUAUAAAAUCCGUGACACGAAUUAAAAGAGGUAGAAAAAGAAAGAAAGAGAGAGAGAGAGAUAGAUAGAUAUAGAAAGAAAGAAAGAAAGAAAGAAAGA